Molecule: ribosomal RNA, 484 nt
Filed under: uncultured bacterium
Lineage: Bacteria
Description: partial 16S ribosomal RNA
Rfam family: Bacterial small subunit ribosomal RNA
Source: RNAcentral
AUUGAACGCUGGCGGCAUGCCUAACACAUGCAAGUCGAGCGGACGGACGGGGCUCGUUCCUCGCUGCCGCGGCCGACGGGUGGGUGAUGCCUAGGAGGCUGACCGACCUUGGGGGCUAAGGUCCGUUCGCGAGCGCUAAUCCCACACCGGUUCAGAUGGUGAACGGGGUGGAUCUUUAGACCUAACCCGAUCUGAUGACCCUGCGUCGCAUUAGCUAGUUGGUUGGGUAACGGCCUACCAAGGCGACGAUCCGUAACUGGUCUGAGAGGCUGAUCGGUCACACUGGAACUGAGACACGGUCCAGACUCCUACGGGAGGCAGCAGUGGGGAAUAUUGGGCAAUGGGCGAAAGCCUGACCGAGCCACGCCGCGUGUGUGAUGAAGGUCUUCGGAUCGUAAAACUCUUUAAGUUGGGAAGAAGGAAAGUAAAUUUAUCCAUGGCUGUUUUGACGUUACCAACUGAAAAAGCACCGGCUAACUACGUG